Molecule: ribosomal RNA, 1572 nt
Filed under: metagenome
Description: bacterial LSU rRNA
Rfam family: Bacterial large subunit ribosomal RNA
Source: RNAcentral
CUACGUGCAAGCGGUAGCGGAGCGAUCCGUAAGCCUGCGAAGCGGUACCUGUGAGGGGCCGUGGAGGUAUCGGAAGUGCGAAUGAUGACAUGAGUAGCGAUAAAAAGUGUGAGAGACACUUUCGCCGAAAGUCCAAGGGUUCCUGCGCAAUGCUAAUCAGCGCAGGGUUAGUCGGCCCCUAAGGUGAGGCAGAAAUGCGUAGCCGAUGGGAAUCACGUUAAUAUUCGUGAACCAGAUGGUAGUGACGGAUCGCGCAGGUUCGUAUCCCCUUAUUGGAUUGGGGGUGCGAUGAGCCGGUUCCUGGAAAUAGCUCCAUCGACAUUGACCGUACCCUAAACCGACACAGGUGGACUGGUAGAGUAUACCAAGGCGCUUGAGAGAACUAUACUGAAGGAACUCGGCAAAUUGCAUGCGUAACUUCGGGAUAAGCAUGACUUCUAUCGGGGCAACCCUUUAGGAGUGGCACAAAAGAGGGGGUGGCGACUGUUUACUAAAAACACAGGGCUCUGCGAAGAUGCAAAUCGACGUAUAGGGUCUGACGCCUGCCCAGUGCCGGAAGGUUAAAAGGAGAGGUGCAAGCUUUGAAUUGAAGCCCCGGUAAACGGCGGCCGUAACAAUAACGGUCCUAAGGUAGCGAAAUUCCUUGUCGGGUAAGUUCCGACCUGCACGAAUGGCGUAACGACUUCCCCACUGUCUCCAGUAUAGACUCAGCGAAAUUGAAUUCCCCGUGAAGAUGCGGGGUUCCUGCGGUCAGACGGAAAGACCCCAUGCACCUUUACUAUAGCUUUACGCUGGCAUCUGUGUCGGCAUGUGCAGGAUAGGUGGUAGGCUUUGAAGCAAGGACGCUAGUUCGUGUGGAGCCAAAAGAUGAGAUACCACCCUUAUCGUCAUAGAUGUCUAACCGCGGCAUAACAGUGUCCGGGACAGCGUAUGGUGGGUAGUUUGACUGGGGCGGUCGCCUCCCAAAGAGUAACGGAGGCGCGCGAUGGUGGGCUCAGAACGGCCGGAAAUCGUUCGACGAGUGCAAUGGCAUAAGCCUGCCUGACUGCGAGACCGACAGGUCGAGCAGAGACGAAAGUCGGUCAUAGUGAUCCGGUGGUCCCGCGUGGAAGGGCCAUCGCUCAACGAAUAAAAGGUACGCUGGGGAUAACAGGCUGAUGAUGCCCAAGAGUCCAUAUCGACGGCAUCGUUUGGCACCUCGAUGUCGGCUCAUCACAUCCUGGGGCUGGAGCAGGUCCCAAGGGUAUGGCUGUUCGCCAUUUAAAGUGGUACGUGAGCUGGGUUUAGAACGUCGUGAGACAGUUCGGUCCCUAUCUGCCGUGGGUGUAGGAAUAUUGAGAAGAGCUGACCCUAGUACGAGAGGACCGGGUUGGACGAAUCUCUGGUGGACCUGUUGUGGCGCCAACCGCAUUGCAGGGUAGCUAAAUUCGGACGGGAUAACUGCUGAAAGCAUCUAAGCAGGAAGCCUCCUUCAAAACUAGUAUUCCCUUGAGAGCCGUGGAAGACCACCACGUCGAUAGGCCGGGUGUGGAAGCGCAGCAAUGUGUGAAGCUUACCGGUACUAAUAGCUCG